UUGUUUCUUGUCUUCACCAAAAGCUAAAGCUAGUUAGCUGGAGACGCUUUGAACAGAUCAAACUUUAUUCUGUGAACUUGAAUAUGUUUUUUGAAGAGCUCCAGAAGUACAAAGGCCGACAGUAAUCCGGAACAAGAAGAAAACGUGAAGUUAGCGCGAAAAGAUGGAACAGCUGAGAAGGUUGUUGAAACAGCGGCUAACUGCUGCUAAUGCCGAGUCUGGACAGUGUGGUAGAGUUUUGUCUUUUGGACGGUCGUCUGCGCCUUUUGUCUCUGCUGUUGGUCGCUGCUGAUCAGUCUUUCUACAAACAUGUCUGAAGUCCAGCAGCUGAGGGACAUGUUAAAACUACAGC
This is a long non-coding RNA of Thalassophryne amazonica, 352 nucleotides long. RefSeq lists it as uncharacterized. NCBI's taxonomy places the organism in Eukaryota, Metazoa, Chordata, Actinopteri, Batrachoidiformes, Batrachoididae. The record is from RefSeq and is a predicted model, not a curated record. The transcript is spliced from 3 exons.